GUUUUAAACCCCUGAUUUACACCUUACAGAUGUUUGAUGCUUGAAUCUUUCUCCCCACCCUCGUCCCUGUCCAUGAACGGGUCAUUGGUGCAGUAGACCUGCUAAGGGACCCUGUGUGGAUUGACUGUGGGCUGUGGACAUAUCACUUCCUACCAGAGAUGAGGGGAACAGCUUGAGUCUGACGUCAGAGAGCGGGAAAGACCUAGAGACCUGUCUCUAGCUGGACCUCCAUAUCACAUACUACCGUCCUUAUUCCCCUUCCCCCACACCACCAUCACUGGCAUCUGUUUCUACCACCACCUCCACUCACUGGGAAGGAUUUGGGAUGACAGUUAACCUCCUCAGCUCUAUCUCACUCCUCCUCACCACCCAGGGAUAACCAGCACUAGAACCUCUGUACCCUGAGAGGCACACUACCACCCUCCCUCACCUCCCCCCAGCUGGCAUCAUGAUGGGAGAUGGAGUUGGGAACUGGGAGUGUCUGAGUCCGUCUGAGUUUGGUCAGCUGCAGCAAUACAGCGAGUAUUCCACCAAGAAGCUCAAGGAUGUUCUGGAGGAGUUUCACGGUGAAGGAGUCCUCUCCAAGUACAAUCCUGAGCAGCCCAUAGACUAUGAGGGUUUCCAGCUCUUCAUGACCACAUACCUGGAGAACGACAUCCCUGAGGAACUGUGUCAGCACCUGUUCACCUCCUUCAAGAGCAAGACAGGGGGCUGCUCUCCUGAGGUGCCCCGUGCUGGAGCAGGACUGCUGGGUGAGAUCAGAGCGGAGAAGAGGAGGAGUCCGUCACCCCAGAAGGGCUCCCCCUUACCCUCCCCCCAGGUGGUGUUUCUGAAGGACAUUGAACUGGACCGCAUCAUCAAUCAGAUGGUCCACGUGGCAGAGUACCUGGAAUGGGACUCUACAGAGCUGCGACCAAUCCUGAAGGAGAUGAUGGAAGAGAUAGACUAUGACCGAGACGGAACAGUCACUCUGGAGGAGUGGAUCAGAGGAGGCCUCACCACCAUCCCUCUGCUGGUCCUGCUGGGUAUGGAGACGGUAAGGCACUUUGUGUGUUGUUCAAACUGUCUCUCUCUGUACCUCUGUGUUUCAGUAUGCAAGUACACAGUCCAUGAACGCUGUGUAUCCAAAGACAUCGCUGCCUGCAUCAGCACCUACGCCAAGUCCCGCAGACACACUAAUGCUAUGCAGCACGUGUGGAUGGAGGGAAACUCUCCCACUAAGUGCGACCGCUGUCACAGAAGUAUCAAGUGCUACCAGGGCUUAACGGGCCUACACUGUGUGUGGUGUCAGAUCACUCUCCAUAAUAAGUGUGCGUCCAACAUGAAACCGGAGUGUGAUGGAGGAGCCCUUAGAGACCACACUCUACUCCCAUCCUACAUCUGCCCUGUAGUCCUGGUGAGAUCACACGACCGUCAUUCUGUCAUGAAGCGGGGUGAAGGGGACUCCCCACCCAGCACCAGCCCCGACGACCCGAGUCAAAGCUUCAAAUUCACAGGAGACGGACAAGCACUGCAGAUCACUCCUCUCCCAGGCACACAUCCCCUCCUGGUCCUGGUCAACCCAAAGAGUGGCGGGAGACAAGGGGAGCGGGUAUUGAGAAAGUUCCAGUACCUGCUGAACCCCAGACAGGUGUACAGUCUAGACCGAGAGGGACCCAUGGUGGGGCUCAACUUCUUCCAUGAUGUCCCUGAUUUCCGGGUGCUGGCGUGUGGAGGGGAUGGGACAGUGGGAUGGAUCUUAGACUGUAUUGACAAGGCCAACUUCACCAGAGAUCCCCCUGUGGCCAUCCUCCCUCUGGGCACAGGGAACGACCUGGCAAGAUGCCUACGCUGGGGUGGAGGUUAUGAAGGAGGCAGUCUUCUGAAGUUCCUGCGGGACAUAGAGCACAGCACAGAGAUGGUUCUGGACCGAUGGAACAUCGACAUCGUCCCUGUUGACAAGGAGGAGAAGGGAGACCCUGUCCCCAACAGCAUCGUCAACAACUACUUCUCCAUCGGAGUGGAUGCGUCCAUCGCUCAUCGCUUCCACUUGAUGAGAGAGAAGCACCCAGAGAAAUUCAACAAGACCAUCUCUGCCACGUGCAAGAAACUCAACGAGUGUAUCGAAGUGGAGUGUGAUGGUAUCAUCCUGGACCUCAGCAGCACGUCGUUGGAAGGCAUCGCCGUCCUCAACAUACCCAGCAUGCAUGGCGGCUCCAACCUGUGGGGCGAGACCAAGAAGAGGAGGAACUACAGCCGCAUGAGCAAGAAGGUUCCGGACAGGAUGCCCGCCAGUACCGUCACCGAUAUAAAGGAGCUCAAAUUCUGUGUUCAGGACCUGAGUGACCAGUUGCUAGAGGUGGUGGGUCUGGAGGGGGCCAUGGAGAUGGGGAAGAUCUACUCAGGCCUGAAGAGUGCUGGCCGUAGACUGGCCCAGUGUGCUAACGUCACCAUCAGGACAUCCCGGCUGCUGCCCAUGCAGAUCGAUGGGGAGCCUUGGAUGCAGCCCCCAUGCACGAUCAAGAUCACACAUAAGAACCAGGUUCCCAUGCUACUGGGCCCUCCUCAGAAGACCCCCUUCUUGUUCUUCAAGAGACGCAACAGAAGUCGGGACUAUGAGUGAGGAGGACACUUCAAACUCCCCCCUCUUCACAAACACAUUCACCAACCUCUUGGGACAACUCAAUAGGUCCCACAGACCAAGUCAUUGCCCCUUGGACCUACAGUACCACUUCAGAAUGAACUGACUUCCUCUCAGUGUAAUGACCACUUCCUGUGUAUCCAUGUUCUAGCUUCUAGAACUUCCUGUGAACUCUGAACUCUGACCCUGCCACUGGCACACUAGCUCAGUCAACCCCAGCUCCAGACUCAGCU
This is a long non-coding RNA of Salmo trutta (river trout), 2853 nucleotides long. NCBI's taxonomy places the organism in Eukaryota, Metazoa, Chordata, Actinopteri, Salmoniformes, Salmonidae. The record is from Ensembl.